RNAcentral lists this long non-coding RNA (457 nucleotides) under Theobroma cacao (cacao). Its description in RNAcentral is "long non-coding RNA (TCAC_LNC002277)". The record is from RNAcentral. Lineage: Eukaryota; Viridiplantae; Streptophyta; Magnoliopsida; Malvales; Malvaceae.
CACGUACGUAGGUGAAAAAGUAUACAUACACAUGUACGUAUUCAGGUGAAAAAGAAGAAGGUACAAGCAAAAGUGCUACGAGCAGCCGACUUACAGUUUCUGCGAGCUUGUGGUGAGAAGCUAGCUGAUCAAGAACUGCAAAGUUUUCCCUGUUUCUGUGAAGUUAGAACCUGGAGAUCAUUGAGAAGCAGAAAAAUUGGAGGUGGCAUCUGGCAAUGGUAGAAGAAAAUGGGGUUUAAUGCACGGGGUCGAGUCGCCAAGCAAUGUCAAAACCCCAUUUUCAUAUAUAGUGCAGCAGCCUCAACAUGAACAGGAAGGAGGGAUGUUUUUCAGCUUUCAUUACCAAUCACGAGACAAAACACGUGUCGUUCGCGAACUGCCUGACUCCUUAGAAUAUUGAAAGGUCACCAUUCAACCUUCUUUUUUACGACUAAAUUAUGACAAUAGUGCUGAUCGU